GCGCGAAAACUUUACAAUGCUGGCAACAGCGAUAAGGGAACCUCGAGUGCCAGGUUACAAAUCUGGCUGUCGAGAUGCCUAAAAAGCAUUUCAUAGCAAGGGCCGGGCAAGACCGGUGCCAGCCGCCGCGGUAACACCGGCGGCUCGAGUGGUAACCGUUAUUAUUGGGUCUAAAGGGUCUGUAGCCGGCCGGAUAAGUCUCUUGAGAAAUCUGGCAGCUUAACUGUCAGGCUUUCAGGAGAUACUGUCUGGCUCGAGGCCGGGAGAGGUGAGAGGUACUUCAGGGGUAGGGGUGAAAUCUUGUAAUGCUUGAAGGAACACUAGUGGCGGAGGCGUCUCACCAGAACGGUCCUGACGGCAAGGGACGAAAGCUAGGGGCACGAACCG
RNAcentral lists this ribosomal RNA (387 nucleotides) under uncultured bacterium. Its description in RNAcentral is "bacterial SSU rRNA". It matches the Rfam family "Archaeal small subunit ribosomal RNA", at positions 339 to 726 of the family's 1478-position model. The record is from RNAcentral.